UACAGAGGGUGCGAGCGUUGUCCGGAAUCACUGGGCGUAAAGGGCGCGUAGGUGGCGCGACAAGUCAGUGGUGAAAGUUCGACGCUCAACGUCGAAUCGGCCACUGAUACUGUUGGGCUUGAGCACUGUAGAGCUAAUGGAAUUCCUGGUGUAGCGGUGGAAUGCGCAGAUAUCAGGAGGAACACCGGUGGCGAAGGCGGGUCUCUGGGCAGUAACUGACGCUGAGGAGCGAAAAGCGUGGGGGAGCGAACAGG
This 254-nucleotide ribosomal RNA is filed under the name uncultured bacterium. RNAcentral's name for it is "partial 16S ribosomal RNA". It matches the Rfam family "Bacterial small subunit ribosomal RNA", at positions 524 to 776 of the family's 1533-position model. The record is from RNAcentral.